This 253-nucleotide ribosomal RNA is filed under the name uncultured bacterium. Its description in RNAcentral is "partial 16S ribosomal RNA". It matches the Rfam family "Bacterial small subunit ribosomal RNA", at positions 524 to 776 of the family's 1533-position model. The record is from RNAcentral.
UACGAAGGGGGCUAGCGUUGCUCGGAAUGACUGGGCGUAAAGGGCUCGUAGGCGGCCAACUAAGUCGGACGUGAAAUCCCUCAGCUUAACUGGGGAACUGCGUCCGAUACUGGAUGGCUUGGAUUCGGGAGAGGAAUGCGGAAUUCCAGGUGUAGCGGUGAAAUGCGUAGAUAUCUGGAGGAACACCGGUGGCGAAGGCGGCAUUCUGGACCGACAUUGACGCUGAGGAGCGAAAGCCAGGGGAGCAAACGGG